AGAGUUUGAUCCUGGCUCAGGAUGAACGCUGGCGGCGUGCCUAAUACAUGCAAGUCGAGCGAACAGACGAGGAGCUUGCUCCUCUGACGUUAGCGGCGGACGGGUGAGUAACACGUGGAUAACCUACCUAUAAGACUGGGAUAACUUCGGGAAACCGGAGCUAAUACCGGAUAACAUGUUGAACCGCAUGGUUCAACAGUGAAAGACGGUCUUGCUGUCACUUAUAGAUGGAUCCGCGCCGCAUUAGCUAGUUGGUAAGGUAACGGCUUACCAAGGCAACGAUGCGUAGCCGACCUGAGAGGGUGAUCGGCCACACUGGAACUGAGACACGGUCCAGACUCCUACGGGAGGCAGCAGUAGGGAAUCUUCCGCAAUGGGCGAAAGCCUGACGGAGCAACGCCGCGUGAGUGAAGAAGGUCUUCGGAUCGUAAAACUCUGUUAUUAGGGAAGAACAAAUGUGUAAGUAACUAUGCACGUCUUGACGGACCUAAUCAGAAAGCCACG
Molecule: ribosomal RNA, 504 nt
Filed under: Staphylococcus sp. iMSN20
Lineage: Bacteria; Bacillati; Bacillota; Bacilli; Caryophanales; Staphylococcaceae
Description: bacterial SSU rRNA
Rfam family: Bacterial small subunit ribosomal RNA
Source: RNAcentral